UACGGAGGGGGCUAGCGUUAUUCGGCCUUACUGGGCGCAAAACGCACGUAGGCGGACUGGAAAGUCAGAGAUGAAAUCCCGGGGCUGAACCCCGGAACUGCCUUUGAAACUUCCGUUCUUGAGGUCGAGAGAGGUGGGUGGAAUUCCGAGUGUAGAGGUGAAAUUCGUAGAUAUUCGGAGGAACACCGGUGGCGAAGGCGGACCCCUGGCUCGAUACUGACGCUGAGGUGCUAAAGAGCGGGGAGCAAUCAGG
This 253-nucleotide ribosomal RNA is filed under the name uncultured bacterium. RNAcentral describes it as "partial 16S ribosomal RNA". It matches the Rfam family "Bacterial small subunit ribosomal RNA", at positions 524 to 776 of the family's 1533-position model. The record is from RNAcentral.